GGAUGUGAGGGUGAACUGGCUGCAACAUCUGUCACCCCAUUGAUAACCAGGGUUGAUUUGGAUGAUCUUGCUGGCUAGGUGGGUAUCCUCUACCUCCCUCACCGCUCUAUGUGUGUCCCUCCUGAAACUGCGUGCUUGUGGAAGAGGAUGACCUUCCCUGAAUUGAGGAGGCCCAGUAUUUGGUCAAGGGUAUAUAAGUAGUUGUGUUACCCUGCUAGAACCUCCAAACAAGCUCUCCAAUAUCCAUUUAAUGCACUCCUCUCUUUCCAUU
This 271-nucleotide small RNA is filed under the name Jaculus jaculus (lesser Egyptian jerboa). RNAcentral's name for it is "7SK RNA (ENSJJAG00000008157.1)". It matches the Rfam family "7SK RNA", at positions 1 to 250 of the family's 331-position model. From Rfam's summary of the family: 7SK was discovered as an abundant small nuclear RNA in the mid-70s but a possible function has only recently been suggested. The record is from RNAcentral. Lineage: Eukaryota; Metazoa; Chordata; Mammalia; Rodentia; Dipodidae.